RNAcentral lists this unclassified non-coding RNA (591 nucleotides) under Hevea brasiliensis (rubber tree). The record is from RNAcentral. Lineage: Eukaryota; Viridiplantae; Streptophyta; Magnoliopsida; Malpighiales; Euphorbiaceae.
GGAUAAGAGUAUGAUCGGAGACUUGGAUUCACUUCCUGAAGCAGAUAAGAUCAGAAUGGCAGCCAUGAUUGAGCAGCUCCAAGUUCGUGACAGCUUGAGAAUGUAUAAUUCUCUGGUCGAAAGAUGUUUCACGGACUGUGUAGACAGUUUCAAACGCAAAACUUUAGACAAACAAGAGGAGACCUGUGUCCGACGAUGUGCUGAGAAGUUCUUGAAGCAUUCUAUGCGUGUAGGACUGAGAUUUGCAGAGCUUAACCAAGGUGCACCAACACCAGACUAAGACGCUUCUGUUAUGUGCCUGCAAUUCAAUUUCUCAUUAUUGUUUAUUGUGGGUUAAUCAACAAGGACAAGUAGUGGAAGUUCCUUAUUUUGGAAAGUCAACAGCUCUCCUCGUUGUUAUUGGUAAAAUGUACUUCUACAGUUAAAUUAUUAGAAACUUGAAUAGUAGAACUGGAUCCUGUAACUGAUUGCAGGCCACUUGCUGUUACGAUAGCAUUCUUUUGUUGUGACGUUCUAGUAAAAUAAUGUGGUAUUCAACUUCAUCAAGGAGAUAUAUCUGUUGCCUUUUCUGUUAUGAUAACAAUUUUUGAA